RNAcentral lists this ribosomal RNA (26 nucleotides) under Neohypochnicium punctulatum. RNAcentral describes it as "Hypochnicium punctulatum partial large subunit ribosomal RNA". The record is from RNAcentral. Lineage: Eukaryota; Fungi; Basidiomycota; Agaricomycetes; Polyporales.
AAAUCAGGUAGGACUACCCGCUGGAA